AGUGAACGCUGGCGGUAGGCCUAACACAUGCAAGUCGAACGGCAGCACAGUAAGAGCUUGCUCUUACGGGUGGCGAGUGGCGGACGGGUGAGGAAUACAUCGGAAUCUACUUUUUCGUGGGGGAUAACGUAGGGAAACUUACGCUAAUACCGCAUACGACCUACGGGUGAAAGCAGGGGAUCUUCGGACCUUGCGCGAUUGAAUGAGCCGAUGUCGGAUUAGCUAGUUGGCGGGGUAAAGGCCCACUAAGGCGACGAUCCGUAGCUGGUCUGAGAGGAUGAUCAGCCACACUGGAACUGAGACACGGUCCAGACUCCUACGGGAGGCAGCAGUGGGGAAUAUUGGACAAAGGGCGCAAGCCUGAUCCAGCCAUACCGCGUGGGUGAAGAAGGCCUUCGGGUUGUAAAGCCCUUUUGUUGGGGAAGAAAAGCAGCAGGUUAAUACCCCGCUGUUCUGACGGUACCCAAAGAAUAAGCACCGGCUAACUUCGUG
Molecule: ribosomal RNA, 492 nt
Filed under: uncultured bacterium
Lineage: Bacteria
Description: partial 16S ribosomal RNA
Rfam family: Bacterial small subunit ribosomal RNA
Source: RNAcentral